This is a long non-coding RNA of Melanotaenia boesemani (Boeseman's rainbowfish), 101 nucleotides long. RefSeq lists it as uncharacterized. NCBI's taxonomy places the organism in Eukaryota, Metazoa, Chordata, Actinopteri, Atheriniformes, Melanotaeniidae. The transcript has 3 exons. The record is from RefSeq and is a predicted model, not a curated record.
AGGACAAACCGACAAGUUUAUAUGCAAGUCAUGUUUUAUGUGAAGCAGCAAAGGAACAAAACAUUCUCCAGUUUCUCCCAGUGGAAAUGCGACUGCGGUGA